Molecule: transfer RNA, 84 nt
Filed under: bacterium
Lineage: Bacteria
Description: tRNA-Leu
Rfam family: tRNA
About the family: Transfer RNA (tRNA) molecules are approximately 80 nucleotides in length. Their secondary structure includes four short double-helical elements and three loops (D, anti-codon, and T loops).
Source: RNAcentral
GCCGGGGUGGCGGAAUUGGUAGACGCGCACGUUUCAGGUGCGUGUGUCCGUUUGGACAUGCGGGUUCAAGUCCCGCCCCCGGUA